GUUUUUAGUUAUUAGUUUUUGCUUUGGCAAUGAAAUGCGAAGAUUAUUUACAGCCCUGUUAUCACUUGCAGAAUCAGAGGAUCAUUGAACUUUUUGAGUUGGAAAGGACCCUUAGAGGCCAGCUGGUCCAACUCCCCUGCUAUAAACAAGGACACCCACAGCUCCAUCAGGUGCUCAGAGCCCCGUCCAGCCUGACCUUGAGUGUCUCCAAGGACAGGGCAUCCACCAGCUCUCUGGGCAACCUGUUCCAGGGCCUGACCACCCUUAUCAUAAAAAAACUUCUUCCUUGUAUCCAAUCUAAACCUCCUCUCUUUUAGUUUGAAACAAUUUCCCUUUGUCCUGUUGCAGCAGGUCCCACUAAAGGGGCCCUUCCUUCUUACAGCUCCCCUUCAGACACUGAAAGGUUGCUAUCAGGUCUCCCUGAAGCCUUAUUUUCUCCAGGCUGAACAGCCCCAGUUCUCUCAGCCUGUCUUCAUAGGUGAGGUUUUUUUACAGUAGAGAUGGUGAGGCCCUGGAACAGGUUGCCCAGAGAGGUGGUAGAUGCCCCGUCCCUGGAGACACUCAAGGUUGGACUGGAUGGCGCUCAGAGCACCUGAUGGACCUUGGAAAUAACAUCCUCUUGAAGUUGUUGAUUGGACAGUCAUACUUCUGAGUGCAAAUCCUCCAAAGGAGCUACAGGACUCUGCACUCAGGAAAGCAGUUGCACACAGAAAGAUUACUUUUUGGGGGCUAUCGUUUACCUUUUAAUCCUCUUAUUCUUUUCUCUGCAUAAUAAAGCGUUAUGGUAGUUUAGGUUGUUGUUGUUUGUUGUUUUAUUUUCUUUCAAUGUUUUUUAUUUAUUUAUGUAUUUUAUUUUCCCACAGCUACAGAAUGGUUCUUUCUUUAUAUGACAUACAAUUAUUUCUUGAAGAAGGAAGUUAUACCUGCAUGUAGCCAGAUCAGGUUAUAAGUACCAUGGGUAAUGUAUCUUGAAAGCCUCAUACCUGAUUUGCUAAAUUUACUUCUAAGCUGACCACUUGAAAAUGGACUAGUUAAUUGGUGGAACAGUUCCCUUAGCCUUCUUAAACACAGUAAGGCUGCUGCUUCCACAUAUUUGAAGGAAUAUAGUGGUUAGUCGUACUUUUCUUUUCUUUCUUUCUUUCUUUUUUUUUUUUUUUUUUGUAAGAAGAGCAGACGUAGAUACAUGAGAAAAUUCUUUCACUGAUUUUCUCAAACUACUGGAUAGGAAACCUGCUUACAUUAUUUAAAUUUAAUGUACGAGUUAUAGAAUCAUAGAGUUGUUCCAAAUUGUUCAGUGGCAUGCACUCAAGACAUUUAUUUCAGUAUUUGGCUUUGAGAUUCUGAAAAUACUUCCUUCUUUGAUUUAUCUUACCCAUACAACUGUGUCCACUGUUUUAUUUAAGGCUGCUUGUGUUGUUUUCAUGGUCAUGUGCUUAGAAACUAAAUUUUCCAUGACACCACCUGUGGUAUGCAAGUACCUGAACAGUGACCUUGAGUGUUCACUUGUGACACUAGAACCCUUCAUUUUGAGUAACUCAGACAAUUUUCAGAAUAAAAUAUUGUAUAGAAGUUGCCAUUUUCAUACAGAUGCUCAUUUCUAGGGGAAAAAAAGCAGCUGUAUAUCAUUUAUACAGCCUCAGCUCAGUGUAACUGUAAAAAGCAAUAUAUUGUAACAGUGAAGUUCUCAGAAUUAUGUUGAAAAUCAACACAGAAGCUAUCAGAAAAUCUUAAACUAACGAUGUCCAGUUUUCAACUUUCAGCAAGGUCUUUUCUUAGAGAGCACUUACAGAACAACUUACCAGGCAGGAAAGCAAUAAAAUUAGAUGGUGAUAGCCAAAGCUGUUCAGCUCUGGGAUGGUUCACAGAAUAUGUUGAAUUCACACUUUAUCCAAUGCAUCUCAUUUUUGAUUUCUAUCUUUGUACAUUAACCCCUAUGUGCAGUCAAUCUAUGAAUAACAGUGUCUACAUGUUUCCAGAUUUAAAAGCAAUUCAUAUUAUCUCAUUCAAAUAGUCAAGUUCAGCAGAGAUUAGUGAUUAUCUUACUUCACUUCAAAAGAAAUUUAAAUUUAUUUGAGUAGUGUUUGAAUAUACAGCAGCAAUAGCACAGAACUGAACAUUAUAGACUGAAUGGUUCACUCCAUGUGUUUUCUUCUUUCAAGAGCAUAGGAGUAUAUGUUAUUCUGAAGUAUCCGUUGUCCUCUGUUGGUCUUUCUCUUGAGAGUAUACUGGACUCUCUCCCUUUAAGCCAGUAGACUUGAGUCCUAUUUCAGUUAAAGGUUAAAUUAAUAAGUUUAAGAUUAAGACUUCCUUGUGCCAGUGUAUCAAAAAGAUCUGUCAAUGACUUCAUAAACAAUUAAACAUCCGCAUCAAGUUUCUUUUGCCUUCUCCACAAUGAAGAUGCUGCUGGAGAGAUACUACUGCUAGGAUUCUCCAUCAGGAAGUGGAAACUACUACUGAACAGAACAAGGGCACUCCUAAAGCAAGUUGCUUCUUACUUGUUCACGGCUAAUACUCAUAAAAACUGUUAUAAAAAAUGUUAAUAGAAUUUCAGAUGGAGAAUAGUUCGCUUAAAGCAGUCAGCAAUUGCUUCACAGAGUUGAAAUCCUAGCCUAUCCUUUAGGUGAGAUUAUCAAUGUGGAUUCAUGGAAAGAUGCUCUUCAAUACUGUUUUUUUGUAAAAAAGUAUGAAUCUGGGUAAUUAAAUCAAAAUAAUAAUAAUAAUAAAUUAUUCUGCAAACCACAAAAAUGUAUGUCCCACUUGUAUAAUAUGUCCAUUUGAGAGCAGAGGUGCUAGUGACUCUCAAUUUGUUUUCAGUCAGCAACCUAAUCUGAAAUGACCUCUGUCAUACCCAUGACAUCUGUACAACUGUUAAUCUAUUCUUUUCUGAGAAGACUUGGCAAAUAUUCAUUAAUUUCUUCUGGAAAGAAUACAUAAGGAUAAAUAAAGUCAGAGAAGACUGGAAAAAAAACCCUUUAUACAUUUAGAAGAUAUUUACCAUACCAUUUAAGGAAUUUAACCAACUCAGAAGUUAAUUUCAUCUUCUAGCCUAGCAACAGACUUACAUAUUUCAGACAAAACCAGGGAGUGCAUUUAUUGUUUAUGGAAAACUGAAGUGGUGCUUUGGUCCAAAGUGGCAGUGCUUUCCGUCAUGGAGUCAGUUUCCGCAUCUUUCUUCUUGAACUGUGGUCUGCAACCCAGUGAAGUGUUUCUGUAGGGUUCAAAGUGCACUGGAAAACUUCCCUUCUGCUUUUGUCUCACAACAUGCACUAUGGCACUUCUGUAUGGCACCAUUCAGACUUGAAAACGCAGGCCUUCUCAUGAGUCCAUCUCCAUCUGCAAGCAUUGUCACAGCUUAGGAUGAUACUUCAGGGGAAAGAGCUCAGAGAUCCUUUGCCUUUUCCCAGUGUGAGACAGGUUAUCUGCACAGCACUGUGUUGUGCUCUGCAUAGCUAGUGUCUUGGGCUUGAAGUAAAAAGAGUGAAAUUCAGGCUUCAGUGGAUUAAUGUAAGGCUUCCUCCUUGCACAACAUGUAUGGUUGCUGCCUCAUUGCAGCCAUCUCACUGUGGGUUUUAGAGCUAAUGCUGCCAGUAUUAGCUUGCGUAUCUUUAAUUCGUGCUUCACUUCACUAAUCUUUCAGCAUUUUCUAAUUAAAAUCCACUUACAAAACAAAAGAGUAGAUUUCUAAACUGUUUCUAGUAGAUUCGUUCUCAGUAAUCACUACUGGUUGAUUUCCUUACUAGUGAAAUGGAGUGGUGCCAUUUAGUAAAGCUAGCAAACUACUUUGUAGUCUGGAAAUAUGAAACAUUAAACAUGCAUGAAGCAGUAUUAACCUUGUAAGCUCAUCUGGGCAAGAAUUGCAUCCAGCUUUGUUUAUUCUAAAAAUAACAUUUUUCUUUAAAAGGGAUUAAAGUUCUUUGAGUGCCAUCCACUCCUGCCAAAGCAAACCCGUAAAAGCAAAGAGAUGCCAAGCAAUGGGACCAUUCUUACUGAUAUCCUCUCACAGCAUGUUUUCUUUGACAAUGAUAAAUUACAUUUUUUCCAGGAAUUUUUGCCUUCCUCAGAUGAAACACAGUGCACUGAACAUGUUAAUCGCUCUUGCUGGCUUUUACAAACCCUGCCUUAAAACUUCAGAGACACCAGUGAAUACUGAGCCCUGACAGAUGGUCACAGGCUGCGUGCAGUGUGUUUAUCUGAGGAUGAAGUAUGAAGUCAUAUGUAUGUGUGCAUGUCUGUGAUGUAUCUUCAUUCUGUGCCUCUUGCUCGCCCUUUAAAUAUCAGCUGACUGAGUCAUAAGCAAAGUAGAACAUGGAAUUUGCCAUGCAGUUUCAUUAGAAUUUGUGUCUCAUUCUCAAUUACUGCACCCGUGUUUCUCUUUGUGGGUUGCUGUGUUCUGAACUCAGGGUAGAUUCUGUGAGUUUAGGCAUUCUGAAUUUAAAAAUGAGGCCUCAAACAAGGUCUGAAUCUUCAGACUUCAAGAUAAUCUUCUAGAACUUUGUGUAGCCACUAAAGCAGUUGUGUCUUGCUUCUGUUCAUGUCUUCUAAAAGUCUGUAUGCCUACUCUGUCAAAAAGAGCAAUUCACAACUGCAUUUGAAAUAUAUAUUUUGUUAAUAAUAUACUAUGAACUAUCAUUAUCAGUGCAUAAACAGAGCAUUGAAUAGGACUGUCAAAAAAAGUCUGCUUUUUAUUAACCACUAACAGGAUGAUUGCCAAAAACAGAAGUCAUAAUCAUGUGAAAGAACUCCAGUUCUUCUUCUGUAAAUUGAUAGUGAUAUUCUUUUUCUUUUUUUUUUCUUCCUACGCGUCUGUAGCGCAAACUACUGCACUUCUGUGGUGCUGUAUGCUACACAAUGAAUCUUCUUGAGUAAGAAAUGAAAAGAAACUCCACUUUCUAUUGAAAGAGGAGUUGGAAUGCUCUUGCCUGUCCACAUCCCUUGCCUUGCAAAUGAUUGAUAUCAAUGUGGGUUCAUGCAGUGAAAUAAUCACUUAUGGAGGAAAACAGUCUCUGUCUAAAGAAACACAGUCUGAACCCAUUGGGGUGUAAAUAAUAGUGUGUUUGUCAUCAAGUGUGACUGGGAAAAGGUCAAGUUAUACCAAGAUUUACUGUAAACUAUUAGGGAGCAGGAUGGGUUUGGAUGUGCAGUUGGCAAGAUGGAUGAGGCUUGGAAAGCUGAGUGGAAGCCACGCUGGUGGUACACAGGUGAGGGAAGAAUGCCGAUGAAGGUUUUCUCUAGAUCAGAAACAGUUCUGUUGAAGCAAGAUUUUGUUUUCUUGAGGAAAGAAGUGUAUCUUGUACUAAUGUUAAUUAACAGCAAAGUUACUGUUAGUUAAAGGCAGAAUGUUAAAGUGGAUAGCUUUGUAAUUACAGAAAGAUUUCCCUGUGGGGGAAAGGAAAGUUUUGCAGUAGUGAGACUUGAUGUUCUUCAAGGCUGUAUUACCUUCAUUGUGCUUUAUGUUUCUACUUGCAUGAUGAAUAGUGACACUCAACUUUGCAGUUUUCAUCAUGCAAAGCAGUAAUGAUGGAACUAAAACCCUUUUCAUUAAUGCAGAAAUUUCACAACCUGUUGCACUAUGUAGAAGCACCUUUAUAGGACACAACUAUAUACUGCUGUCACUGGCUCACUUUCUAAACGUGUGGGUGAGUACCAUCACGCUCAGACAAUAUAAUCUCAAACUGUAUUUAAACGCUUUGCCACUAAAAAUAUAUAUAUGCUACAGCCUGUUGUAUGAGGUCAUAAGAAAAAUGAUGGCAACGUUACUUUGAAAACAACAAAAAAAGACUGGUUGAGGGAUGUUUUGUUGCUUUUUGUUUGUUUGUUUUUGUUGUUUGUUUUAUUGAUCAGUAACAGGAUAAUUGCCAGAUAACUGUCUUGAGAUACUUGGUAGAUUUUGUGAGAACUUUUAACAUCCCACACCAGUAACUCAGAUGACAUGUGGUAUUAUUGUGCAAAAAGUAGAGAAAGGGAACUAGGCCUACAUUCAAAAUAGAUACAAAGACUUGCCACUACCAAAUCUUAUUAAUUUAGUCAGUCUUCAAACUGAUUUAUCAUCCAAUUACUUACGAAGAUAUGAAAUACUGUUUAUCUGUUUUGUGCAGAACAGUAUUUCAAUACUGUCUUGUAAAAACAUGCUGCACACAGUGGAAAUUGCCUGGACCAGUAUUUAGAAAUUUGUCCCUUAACAGAGACUUGUAGCAUACAGGAUUUGGCUCAUUAGAAAUGUGAAACUAAAAAUGGAGGCCAUCGAGUUCAUUAGAGAUAUGAAUCUCUUGGAAAUCAGAGUGCUCUAACCUGUAGUUCAGAAAUUACUUCUAUGUUCAGACAGAAACUUAAAAGGAUGUAUUAGGCACAGAUUAUCUCAAAAUAUUACUGCUUGCAGUGGCUUCAGAAAGAUCUAUGAAAUAUGAUCUCUGAGUUGUUUACUCUGCUUUGAAGAGGGAUUAAAACUAGAAA
This is a long non-coding RNA of Gallus gallus (chicken), 6450 nucleotides long. The record is from Ensembl. NCBI's taxonomy places the organism in Eukaryota, Metazoa, Chordata, Aves, Galliformes, Phasianidae.